This 310-nucleotide ribosomal RNA is filed under the name Perania nasuta. RNAcentral describes it as "partial 12S ribosomal RNA". Lineage: Eukaryota; Metazoa; Arthropoda; Arachnida; Araneae; Tetrablemmidae. The record is from RNAcentral.
AGGUAGUAGAUUUAAUACAAAACCACUUUAAACCGACAGUUUAGCCCAAUCAGAGGAACUUGUUAAUUAAUCGUCAUUACCCGAUCACUCUCACGCUUAAACAGUUUUUAUACCGCCGCCAAUUUAAUCAUAAAAACUACAACAAUAUUUAUACCCAAAACACCAACCAGGUCAAGGCAAAGCUCUUAUUAAACGCUAAAAUGAGUUACUUUAAACAUUAUUCAAGGAAUUUACGUGAAAACUCUAAUAUAAAAAGAAUUUAACAGUAAUUUUAAAAUAAAAAUUCAAUUUGAAGACGAAAGCUAAAUGU